Molecule: ribosomal RNA, 292 nt
Filed under: uncultured bacterium
Lineage: Bacteria
Description: partial 16S ribosomal RNA
Rfam family: Bacterial small subunit ribosomal RNA
Source: RNAcentral
GUGUCAGCCGCCGCGGUAAUACAGAGGGUGCGAGCGUUAAUCGGAUUUACUGGGCGUAAAGGGCGUGUAGGCGGUGGUAUGUGAGAGAUGUGAAAGCCCCGGGCUUAACCUGGGAAGUGCAUUUUUAACUAUAUCACUAGAGUAUAAGAGAGGGUGGCGGAAUUUCCGGUGUAGCGGUGAAAUGCGUAGAGAUCGGAAGGAACGUCAAUGGCGAAGGCAGCCACCUGGCUUAAUACUGACGCUGAAGCGCGAAAGCGUGGGGAGCGAACAGGAUUAGAAACCCUGGUAGUCC